GACGAACGCUGGCGGCGUGCUUAACACAUGCAAGUCGAACGGAAAGGCCUCUUUCGGGGGGUACUCGAGUGGCGAACGGGUGAGUAACACGUGAGUAACCUGCCCUUGACUUUGGGAUAACUUCAGGAAACUGGGGCUAAUACCGGAUAGGAGCUCCUGCUGCAUGGUGGGGGUUGGAAGGUUUCGGCGGUUGGGGAUGGACUCGCGGCUUAUCAGCUUGUUGGUGGGGUAGUGGCUUACCAAGGCUUUGACGGGUAGCCGACCUGAGAGGGUGACCGGCCACAUUGGGACUGAGAUACGGCCCAGACUCCUACGGGAGGCAGCAGUGGGGAAUAUUGCACAAUGGGUGGAAGCCUGAUGCAGCAACGCCGUGUGCGGGAUGACGGCCUUCGGGUUGUAAACCGCUUUCGCUCAUGACGAAGCUUUGUGUGACGGUAGUGGGUAAAGAAGCACCGGCUAACUACGUG
Molecule: ribosomal RNA, 467 nt
Filed under: uncultured bacterium
Lineage: Bacteria
Description: partial 16S ribosomal RNA
Rfam family: Bacterial small subunit ribosomal RNA
Source: RNAcentral